Molecule: long non-coding RNA, 204 nt
Filed under: Gossypium barbadense (sea-island cotton)
Lineage: Eukaryota; Viridiplantae; Streptophyta; Magnoliopsida; Malvales; Malvaceae
Description: long non-coding RNA (GBAR_LNC005213)
Source: RNAcentral
AGAAAAGAAAAGAAAAAAGAAAAAGAGAGAGGGAUCAAGGUGAAAACCCGAAAAGGGCGUCUUGAUUAACACAAAAGAUUAGGAUGAAAACCCUAAAGGGCGUUCUAAUGAAGCAAGCACUGGCUUAAAAAGUAAGGCGUUUUGAACGGUGGGUCAAACAGAGAGACUACAGUAUUUGAAGCAUUUUUGAAAACUCAAAAUCUC